RNAcentral lists this long non-coding RNA (462 nucleotides) under Anas zonorhyncha (Eastern spot-billed duck). RNAcentral describes it as "lncRNA (ENSAZOG00000015170.1)". Lineage: Eukaryota; Metazoa; Chordata; Aves; Anseriformes; Anatidae. The record is from RNAcentral.
CGGCCCCGCCGCCACACACAUACCCGGGCCUCGGGAGCGCUGCAGGGACAGCGGGGGACACCCGGGUGGUUUGCCAGGGCAAUAAAUAAUCCUCACGACCAAAUACUUACACAUUUCUCGUUUCUUCCUGACACCUUCUGUGAUCAGCAUUCAACUAAGCACCAGCUCAUAAGUUGCCUCCUUGAAUGAGCAAACCCAUCUUUCAAACCCUCAGGACCUCCAGAUAUCUGCUCUGGAUCAGUUUGCAAAAGGCAACCCCAGCAACAUGACUCCGAGCAGAGCAACCAUUCGUCAAGACUUACAGCUUUGAGCUGGCUGCUUGUUGGGAAAGUUUCUGUGACGCAGAGAGAGUCAGACCUCAACUGCAACUCAAGCACAGAGGCAAGAUGUUCCACUGAAUCAGAGAAUAAGGAAAUAGAAAUGCUUGUCUUAAAGGAUAAACGCUUUCGUGCUUGCCCUUAG